UCGGGAAUUUUGGGCAAUGGGCGAAAGCCUGACGCAGCCAUGCCGCGUGAAUGAUGAAGGUCUUAGGAUUGUAAAAUUCUUUCACCGGGGACGAUAAUGACGGUACCCGGAGAAGAAGCCCCGGCUAACUUCGUGCCAGCAGCCGCGGUAAUACGAAGGGGGCUAGCGUUGCUCGGAAUUACUGGGCGUAAAGGGCGCGUAGGCGGACAUUUAAGUCAGGGGUGAAAUCCCAGAGCUCAACUCUGGAACUGCCUUUGAUACUGGGUGUCUUGAGUGUGAGAGAGGUAUGUGGAACUCCGAGUGUAGAGGUGAAAUUCGUAGAUAUUCGGAAGAACACCAGUGGCGAAGGCGACAUACUGGCUCAUUACUGACGCUGAGGCGCGAAAGCGUGGGGAGCAAACAGGAUUAGAUACCCCUGUAGUCCCUGAGCGGGCUGGCAAGGCGCAU
Molecule: ribosomal RNA, 447 nt
Filed under: uncultured bacterium
Lineage: Bacteria
Description: bacterial SSU rRNA
Rfam family: Bacterial small subunit ribosomal RNA
Source: RNAcentral